CCGCUGGAUGAUGAAGAAUUGAUCGCCUACAUCAUCAACGGCCUCGACUCGGACUAUGAUCCAGCUGUUGAAGCAAUUACGGCUACGGCAAGAAUUGCUCCCAUCUCUUUAUCUCAUGUUUACUCACAGCUCCUGAGCUUUGAAA
Oryza meridionalis is the source of this 145-nucleotide non-coding RNA. NCBI's taxonomy places the organism in Eukaryota, Viridiplantae, Streptophyta, Magnoliopsida, Poales, Poaceae. The record is from Rfam.